UAAUAAGUACUGGAUUAAGUGUAGUUCU
RNAcentral lists this small RNA (28 nucleotides) under Bombyx mori (domestic silkworm). RNAcentral describes it as "piRNA piR-bmo-1886564". The record is from RNAcentral. Lineage: Eukaryota; Metazoa; Arthropoda; Insecta; Lepidoptera; Bombycidae.